Molecule: long non-coding RNA, 3579 nt
Organism: Bombus pyrosoma
Lineage: Eukaryota; Metazoa; Arthropoda; Insecta; Hymenoptera; Apidae
Exons: 6
Source: RefSeq, a predicted model, not a curated record
CUUUAUUUAUAUUAUUAUAUCAAACAUUUAUCCAACUGCUGGACUCCACUAUAAUUAGUGUCAGUGCAUCAAUCGGUAAUGUUAAUUGAUAUUAAAGAUCUUACUAUGUCAUGAAAGUUACUAUAAUACUACAGGUGAAUAAAGGGAAAAAGAUGAAACUGAUUGAUAAAUGGUAUAGUUGAAUUAAUUAAUAAUUGUUGUUUGGUAGUAUCAAAUGAGGAAACAUAGGUAGAUGCAACAUGUUGGUAGUGAGUAAAAAGACAAAUGACACAUCGUUUGGUGAUGUAUAUGAGCAGUCAAUACAAUUAUUGAAAUGACUUAACCUCAUAUAAUUUUUUUCAACAAUAUGACUGGGCCAACGUUCUGUAGUCCAUGAAACAACAUUGAUUGUUACCCAGCGAAGUCGUGAAGUUUUUGAUAUGCCGCAUGUCGAAAAGAGAAAGAUGCUUCUCGGAGAGGGAAUCAUACCGCCCCGUUAUAUCGUGGCAGCGAUUCCAAAUGAAACACGUCUCUGUUCAUAUUUUCGACUCCUGUUUCUUUCUGUCAUAGGUUAAUGUCAGGUUUCACACACCUAAACCUUACUAGAGAAAUGCUCUUUAAAAUCGAGGAAAACCUCAUCAAAAUAUGUCCUAUAGUUCUUGAGAUUAGCUCGAACUCGGAACAUACAGACGCAUGCCGAGAACUUCAUUUUAUACUAUAUCUAGAUUGAAUACAAAAGAAUAUUUAUUAUAUUCUCUCUCAUGCAAUGUUUGUGUAGUGUACAUGAAGAGAAAAGCACUUCAGUUUGCAUUCAAAACACAGCUUUAAAUAAUUGCUUCUUAACUUGCUGCGCUGCAUGUUUCUUUUUGUAGCACACAAUUUCAAGGAAACUGUCGCUGUAUAAUUGGUCGCUUUGUAUCUUAUAUCUGUCCACUUUAACAGUUUUUUCUGCGCGAUGAGAUGCGCUAUAAGGGACAGUGUGUCCUUGCGUAGCAACGCCGUUGUGUUAUGGUUUCCCCCUUGCUCUUUGAGAUCUCAAGCACAGUGAACCGUAGUUCCUGGUUUUGUCCACUAAAUCGUGCACUACCGACGCUUAAGCUCUGAAAGCCCCUCUUUUGACGCUAGAGGGAUUCUACUUGUUACUGGGAAUCCUUCUGUAUCCCUUUGAGGAUAUGUAUUGCGCUCUGUCGAGAUGACGGAAAUUGAGGAAACAAAAUCCGUUGCAGAUAAAAGUAAUUUCAUAAAAGGAUACGUAUGUAAGGAUAGCAACUCUAAGAAUUGGUCAUAAAAUGAUCGAAGAUAGAAAAUAUGUACCUAAGUUCGACAUUCUUAAUACGGCAUUUAUUCCAUUUUAAUUCUCUUCUAACUUUUAUCCAAUCUCAGUAAUUCUGAUACUCUGUAUCAAACGUUUAUCAAACAAGCUAAGAUUCCAAUUUCCUCGUUUUCAGAACUACGAUUUCCUUUAGAUCUUGCAGUUAAGAUCACAGGACGAUCAUUCACCCGCACCUUCGCAGGAUACGCUUCCAAAGCUGUAUUUUAUACCAGGAUGGAAAUGUGAUAUUUGGAAACGCGGCGUAAUGUGAUGUUUAUCGACAGCGUGGUCGCGCGCGUAUUCCCCAUUAACAUUCCGUAUGAAAUCCGUAGGUAGAUAAGUGGAAUGCCCUGUACAGAGACGCGUUUGCAUACACGCCGGUGUAUAUCUAGAUGCUACAUGCAUCUGCGCCCGUCCGUUGAACGUGCAUGCACGCGAGUUUAACGAGCGCGGCAGAGGCUGGCGCCAAACGGCGAUCCUAACAUCGGCCAACCGAUUCGCGAUCUCUGCUUUCUACGAUAAUCCUCUGCGAUGGCAUACUGUUGUCCGCUGUGGAAACGUGAUCGAGCACGAUCGAGCCUCAUGCUUACAGCCUAUCCUAAUAGAUAUCAUAAUGAAUGUACAAAGUCGGGCAAAUACUGGCGUUGCAUAGGUCUGGAGAAUGGGAAUAUUGUGAUAGUAUAUUAGUACAGAAUGAUACAUCAUAUCUUUUAUAAGAAAUUUAAGAAGAAUAUUUUUGAUAGCUGUAAGUGUUAAUUAUUAAUAUGGAAAGUAUUUUUAAGGUCUAAAGGAAAUUUCUAUCGUUGGUACUGAAAACGAUUUACAUAUAUCUGAAAUUUUGAGAAAAACUGGCUAUUAUUAAAUACAGAAGUGACAGUAGAGAGAAGGAAACGGUGCGUGUAAGGGGCCACGAGACUAUUUUUCAUUCAUGAAUGAAGCGAUGCGAACGUAAAAGUACUUUAUCCAUCAUAUUCGUUAUCAAGGACAUGGCAAUGCAUAGAGUAUUUUUACCACAGAAUUUCCAGCUCUGAGAGUAUCUUAUAAUCCCUAGUGUUCCAGCGCGUAUUACGAGUGGCUCUUUCGAAGCUUAUAAUUAUUAGACACAGAACAAAUGUGACUCCUUGAAUAACGCUGACUGAAUAAUUUUGAUAAGCCUAUAUAUGCAUAGAUAGGGCAAGCAACGCUUUGUGAGAAUGCGUUCUAAUCGUAAAUGCGUUCAGCAACCGGUGACCCAGAAUGUUAAUACUUUCUCCUUCCUUAAGUAUUCUUUUGUUCUCCGUUCAAAUGCACCUGUAUUGUUCCCGCAACAUAGAACUGUUCCGUGACAAAGCGAUAACGGGUCACGAAGGUUCCAAUACAAUGUUCAGACGGGAAUACUACCGACAUAAGUAAACACGUACGAACAGUCGCUGGUGGACCAUCGAAUUGAACUCCGAAAAUAAGCCGCUACGUAUCUAAGUAGACUGGACGAGAAAAUUUUUUUCUCUUCCUAUUUUUUUUUAAAGCUAUUCGAAAUGUAACAUGUUCAAAAUGGAAAUAUAAAAGUGAUCAAUCAGCUACGUCAGAAUUAAAAUGAUCGAUGCGAUGGAUAUUUAAAGUCCAUGUAUAGAGAAACAAAUUACGUAAAUUUACGUAAAGAUAACAGGAUAUGAAGUGUGACAGGAUUAUCUUAUCGAAUGAAAAUAUAAAUUUGUUCAGCGAAGAAAUGAUAAAGCUAUAAUCGUGAAAGCGUAUGAAGACAGGAAAGAGAUAUAAUAAAACGCGAUUUUCUGAGAUGAUGUUGGGAAAAAAAAACACGCACGAUCGUGCGACCACAAUAUUACCACACUGUGGAGAUUACAUUCGAGCAGGGAGACACCAGAUUUUCAUCGAUGUCGUUGCGAAAUCUCUAAUCGAAGGAAGUCAUCAUAGACUUGAACCGUGCCGGACGCCUUGGAACUCGAAAGUCUAUGAAAUUUCAUCAAUAUAAUUUUUUACAUAUUAACAAAAUUUAAUUUUUACGAAACUCUUCUAACUUUCUUCAUAUAAGUUUUAAUAUUCCUUUUUGACUUACAUGACGUUCUUUAUGUAUUUAUAAAUAUUUAUAAUCAUAUAAUUUUUAUAUGUCUUUAAGUCUUUUUGAUAGAUAUUUUAAUUUAUCUUAAAACUUUUUUUGCUAUAUCCUUUGGUAUAGGUAUUCCUAACUUCAUACAUUCCAUUUAUUGGGUUGGCAACUAAGUGAUUACGCGUUUUGUCAUUAGGUGGUAUUGACGGUUUGUCAAUACUAUGAUAUAUUUUUUCUAAAAUUU